GAUGAACGCUAGCGGGAGGCCUAACACAUGCAAGCCGAGCGGUAGAGUUUCUUCGGAAACUUGAGAGCGGCGCACGGGUGCGUAACACGUGUGCAACCUACCUUUAUCUGGGGGAUAGCCUUUCGAAAGGAGGAUUAAUACCCCAUAAUAUAAUGAUUGGCAUCAAUUAUUAUUGAAAACUCCGGUGGAUAGAGAUGGGCACGCGCAAGAUUAGAUAGUUGGUGAGGUAACGGCUCACCAAGUCAAUGAUCUUUAGGGGUCCUGAGAGGGAGAUCCCCCACACUGGUACUGCGACACGGACCAGACUCCUACGGGAGGCAGCAGUGAGGAAUAUUGGACAAUGGGUGAGAGCCUGAUCCAGCCAUCCCGCGUGAAGGAUGACGGUCCUAUGGAUUGUAAACUUCUUUUGUACAGGGAUAAACCUACCCUCGUGAGGGUAGCUGAAGGUACUGUACGAAUAAGCACCGGCUAACUCCGUG
Molecule: ribosomal RNA, 479 nt
Filed under: uncultured bacterium
Lineage: Bacteria
Description: partial 16S ribosomal RNA
Rfam family: Bacterial small subunit ribosomal RNA
Source: RNAcentral